Molecule: ribosomal RNA, 238 nt
Filed under: uncultured bacterium
Lineage: Bacteria
Description: partial 16S ribosomal RNA
Rfam family: Bacterial small subunit ribosomal RNA
Source: RNAcentral
GGCGCACGGGUGCGUAACGCGUAUGCAACCUACCCUUUACUGGGGGAUAGCCCGGAGAAAUUCGGAUUAAUACCCCAUGGUACUGUAAUAUAGCAUUAUAUAGCAGUUAAAGAUUUAUUGGUAAAGGAUGGGCAUGCGUGACAUUAGUUAGUUGGUGAGGUAACGGCUCACCAAGACGAUGAUGUCUAGGGGUUCUGAGAGGAAGGUCCCCCCACACUGGUACUGAGACACGGACCAG